Long non-coding RNA from Cyprinus carpio carpio, 1499 nucleotides. Lineage: Eukaryota; Metazoa; Chordata; Actinopteri; Cypriniformes; Cyprinidae. The record is from Ensembl.
UUUUGGGCAGGACAACCGGUUUUCUUCGACCUGACAGGUAAAGUGAAUAAGCAACCUAGUCAUUAUUUUUUACAACUCCAUUAACUGGUUGACUGUUUGAGCAGACUUUUAUGCAUUUACAUCUUCCCAAACAUGUAACGUACAAGCAUGCAUUUCCCCCCUUUAAGCACGGCACACAAUAGGCCUCAACAUCUUACAAGAGAAAAUCAAUCCUGCAUCUCUCCUCACAUCUGACCUCUGCACUCUCUACAAAUCCUGAAUUAAUUAAAGAGGGAAAUCCCACUGGCCAACACAGAAGAGGGAUUGAGUGUUUUGGCCCCCUCCAAGGUACCAGAGGAUUAGAAGAGCUCACUCAAUGAUGAGAGUGUUUCCAAACCUCCAGGUACCUGCGGUGACGGACAUACCUGCAGUCGUGUUUUUAUCGACGAUACCAAUGGCGUUCGUUGCAUGACUAACCCGCUGAUGCUGCUGUAAAUAGUAUAGAAUGAUUUUAGAGCCUCAGAAGGAUGUUUUUGAUAGCUUUUUGGGAGUUUUCCAACGGGGAUAAGACUGGAGUUCACGUUUAACAAGAGUCUUGCUCACGGUUGAGUCGCCCCAUGCCUUGCCCCCUCAUCCUAGAGAUGGAGGCAGUUCUGGGUUUGGCUGCUCUGUCUCCUGGCUGCUGACCCACUUGGAAAUCCAGCGCCGUAGCUUCAGCUUACACGGGUCACUCCUGUGGCAGGUUCCCAGUGGUACAUACCCUGCGAUAAGGAGCUGCAAGGGAACUAUUGUUCCCUGAGCCCAGUCUGUCAUCGGGGGCUUGUUGAGCAAAUACACCCAGCACUCAUAUUCCUCAGAUUCCAGUCCAGAAGGGAGAAAAUGACACAGAAGAGACAGAGAACAGCGUAUCACAUCACACACACCAUCAGAUGUGACCUCCUUGCUCCCUGAGUGUAACCUGGAAGCUGCACAAAUCCAAACGGUGUAAUUAAGUUCUUCCUGGCGACUGAUAGAAUGGGAUUUUCUUGGAGGGGAAGCAACAUCCUCGGCUUUCAUUCUCCUCAUCUAUCACUGUUAGCGACUGUCUGACAGAGUGAAGGAGGUUUUCAAGAUACACACUUGAGCUCCACCUUUUUGUGCCUACAUGCUAUCUGCCAUAAUUCCACUGAUUUUUUUUUCUGUUUCUGAAUGGCGCUGUAGGUUUUGUUUUAUACUUGGGUAACAUACAUUUUUCAAUCUAAUUAUAAAGCCAUAUACAGUAAAGGCAAUAUAAAGGUACUUACCCAGUAUGAAUUUUAAGACUGGUUAUUUAUUUAUUUAUUUAUUUAUUAUUUCCACUUGAGUUAUUAUAGUAAGUGCACAAAAUCAGCACAACAUUGCAUAAUGAGAAAAAAAAGAAUAAAGUCUGUACGUUUGCAAGUCAAAUAAAUGCUUAAUGGCAGCUACUGUAUUAUUGCUGAAAUGUUUUCAUGGCCUAUAGGUUUGUAAAUUUUCCUUCAGAUAAGAUUUCUGCCUUUGUC